UUGGAGGGCAAGUCUGGUGCCAGCAGCCGCGGUAAUUCCAGCUCCAAUAGCGUAUAUUAAAGUUGUUGCAGUUAAAAAGCUCGUAGUUGAAUUUCGGGGUUCUACCGUUGGUCGGGCUAACCAGUCUGUACUAGCGUGUAAAAUUCCUACCUUCUGGAGAACCAUCAUGUUAUUAAUUUAGCGUGGUGGGAAACCAGGACCUUUACCUUGAAAAAAUUAGAGUGUUCAAAGCAGGCUUACGUCUGAAUACAUUAGCAUGGAAUAAUAGAAUAGGACGGUGGUCCUGUUUUGUUGGUUUCUGAAUCGCCGUAAUGAUUAAUAGGGAUAGUUGGGGGCAUUAGUAUUCAAUUGUCAGAGGUGAAAUUCUUGGAUUUAUUGAAGACUAACUUCUGCGAAAGCAUUUGCCAAGGAUGUUUUCAUUAAUCAAGAACGAAAGUUAGGGGAUCGAAGACGAUCAGAUACCGUCGUAGUCUUAACCAUAAACUAUGCCGACUAGGGAUCGGACGAUGUUAAAUUUUAUUGACUCGUUCGGCGCCUUACGGGAAAC
Molecule: ribosomal RNA, 547 nt
Filed under: uncultured Glomeromycotina
Lineage: Eukaryota; Fungi; Glomeromycota
Description: SSU rRNA
Rfam family: Eukaryotic small subunit ribosomal RNA
Source: RNAcentral